AUUGAACGCUGGCGGCAGGCUUAACACAUGCAAGUCGAGCGGGGUGAUGGUGCUUGCACUAUCACUUAGCGGCGGACGGGUGAGUAAUGCUUAGGAAUCUGCCUAUUAGUGGGGGACAACAUCUCGAAAGGGAUGCUAAUACCGCAUACGCCCUACGGGAGAAAGCAGGGGAUCACUUGUGACCUUGCGCUAAUAGAUGAGCCUAAGUCGGAUUAGCUAGUUGGUGGGGUAAAGGCCUACCAAGGCGACGAUCUGUGGCGGGUCUGAGAGGAUGAUCCGCCACACUGGGACUGAGACACGGCCCAGACUCCUACGGGAGGCAGCAGUGGGGAAUAUUGGACAAUGGGGGGAACCCUGAUCCAGCCAUGCCGCGUGUGUGAAGAAGGCCUUAUGGUUGUAAAGCACUUUAAGCGAGGAGGAGGCUCUUUUGGUUAAUACCCAAGAUGAGUGGACGUUACUCGCAGAAUAAGCACCGGCUAACUCUGUGCCAGCAGCCGCCGUAA
RNAcentral lists this ribosomal RNA (503 nucleotides) under uncultured bacterium. RNAcentral's name for it is "partial 16S ribosomal RNA". It matches the Rfam family "Bacterial small subunit ribosomal RNA", at positions 30 to 523 of the family's 1533-position model. The record is from RNAcentral.